Molecule: ribosomal RNA, 471 nt
Filed under: uncultured bacterium
Lineage: Bacteria
Description: bacterial SSU rRNA
Rfam family: Bacterial small subunit ribosomal RNA
Source: RNAcentral
GACGAACGCUGGCGGCGUGCUUAACACAUGCAAGUCACGGGGGCCCGCGAGGGGUAACCGGCGAACGGGUGCGUAACACGUGAGCGACCUGCCUUUCCGCGGGGGAGUAGCCGGCCCAACGGCCGGGUAAUACCGCAUACGCUGCUCGAGGGGCGAUCCCUUGGGUAGGGAAACCUCCGGGGCGGAGAGAGGGGCUCGCGACCUAUCAGCUAGUUGGUGAGGUAACGGCUCACCAAGGCGUCGACGGGUAGCUGGUCUGAGAGGAUGGCCAGCCACAUUGGGACUGAGAUACGGCCCAGACUCCUACGGGAGGCAGCAGUGGGGAAUAUUGGACAAUGGGGGAAACCCUGAUCCAGCGAUGCCGCGUGAGCGAAGAAGGCCUUAGGGUUGUAAAGCUCUUUCGCCCGCGACGAUAAUGACGGUAGCGGGAGAAGAAGCCCCGGCUAACUCCGUGCCAGCAGCCGCCGCCGU